Molecule: long non-coding RNA, 1091 nt
Organism: Helianthus annuus (common sunflower)
Lineage: Eukaryota; Viridiplantae; Streptophyta; Magnoliopsida; Asterales; Asteraceae
Exons: 7
Source: RefSeq, a predicted model, not a curated record
CCCCAAAACACCACAUCAUCUUUUCUUCCUCUGGCCCUUUCUAUUCUCUCUGUCAACACGCUAAAGAAACGUCCAUCGUUGCCGACGAACACGACGAGGAAUCAAAGCGACACCGUUUUCUUCUCCGGCUAGACCAUUAUUAUACCAUAUGACGCCAGCGGUGGCUAGGGUUUCACCAGAAAACACCACGGGUCGCUGUUGUGCCACCGAAAGUUGCUCUAAACCCCAAUUGCAUUCUAUUCACCACCGCUAACCUGAUUUGGUCUUUUUUGUUGUAUAGUUUACCAAUACUCAAAUCUGAAUGCACUUACAGGAGGACAUCGUUACAGAGUAGGCGGCUGAGCCGAAAGUUAGGGUUCCGACGCGGUGGUUCUUGGGCGGCGACAUCGCCGCGGUGGUGAAGAUAACAGGCUACACAACCGUAGCAUUCAAGGGUAGACCAGCUUCACCCGCCUUUCGCAAAUUUUAUUAACGUACUUUCGAACCUCAGAUGACGAAGAAAAGUUGCCCUUAUUCUUGGAGGAAGCGAGGCUGAUUAUAGUGGUCUGGAGACCUAGCCGCCACCUCCGGCGACGGCGGAUUGGAUUCUGAUGAUGAUUCCGGUGACGACAGAAGGCUCCUCCGGCGAUGCUUGAUUUCUGACUCGGCAACUACGAGCCGGUUCGAGGGAUUUGUGACUGAUGAUCAAUUUGUCGAAGCUACUGUAUGGAGCAAAUCGCUUCUUCCUUCAACAGGUGUGCUUCAACUAGGGUUCACAUCAGGAACAUACAUUAAUCCAACUCUAUUGCUACCAAGUACAAAAUGUCCAUUUGGUGAUCAUAUGCAGGACAAGAGGAGAAGCCGCUCCACUAGACAUUCAUGAUCAAGAAGAAGCUCGCGAAGGAGAACAAGCCCAUUGCUCUCGCUAGAUUCGUAUGUCAACCGACAAUACCAUCCGGUACGGUACAAAGCGCAGAACCAGGCUUGGGUUCUAAGGUGUUCUCUAUGAUGUCUUGAUUUUUGCGAAAGGCUAUGAAUUUGAUGAUGAAUCUGUUCAAUCACAUGUUUUCCAUGUACCUUAAAUUAUGGUAGGCUAUUUAAUGUUUUUAUUU